This is a non-coding RNA of Pseudonaja textilis, 133 nucleotides long. Lineage: Eukaryota; Metazoa; Chordata; Lepidosauria; Squamata; Elapidae. The record is from RefSeq and is a predicted model, not a curated record.
GCCCAGAGUCAUCAAUCAGGCUCUCCAGUUAGAAUUUUGCACGGCAGAAACUUCAGACACCUAGUUGCUAUCUUUGGAAAAGUAUUUAUGGAAUUUAUUUUCGCCCUCCAAGCUGCCGCACGGCUCCCUCCUC